CUACGGGAGGCAGCAGUUGGGAAUCUCGCACAAUGGGGGAAACCCUGAUGCAGCGACGCCGCGUGGAGGAUGACGGAUCUAGGUCUGUAAACUCCUUUUUCAUGGAAAGACUUAGGACGGUACCAUGAGAAUAAGGACCGGCUAACUACGUGCCAGCAGCCGCGGUAAGACGUAGGGUCCAAGCGUUGUCCGGAUUUACUGGGCGUAAAGAGCGCGUAGGCGGCUCGUUAAGUGUGGUGUGAAAUCUCCAGGGCUCAACCCGGAAACUGCACCGCAUACUGGCGAGCUUGAGGAAUGCAGAGGUAACUGGAAUUCCUGGUGUAGCGGUGAAAUGCGUUGAUAUCAGGAGGAACACCCAUGGCGAAGGCAGGUUACUGGGCAUUAUCUGACGCUGAGGCGCGAAAGCGUGGGUAGCAAACAGGAUUAGAUACCCUAGUAGUCC
This 442-nucleotide ribosomal RNA is filed under the name uncultured bacterium. Its description in RNAcentral is "bacterial SSU rRNA". It matches the Rfam family "Bacterial small subunit ribosomal RNA", at positions 339 to 796 of the family's 1533-position model. The record is from RNAcentral.